This 519-nucleotide ribosomal RNA is filed under the name uncultured bacterium. Its description in RNAcentral is "bacterial SSU rRNA". It matches the Rfam family "Bacterial small subunit ribosomal RNA", at positions 8 to 518 of the family's 1533-position model. The record is from RNAcentral.
AGGGUUCGAUUCUGGCUCAGGAUGAACGCUAGCGACAGGCUUAACACAUGCAAGUCGAGGGGCAGCAUAAAAGUAGCAAUACUUUGGUGGCGACCGGCGCACGGGUGAGUAACGCGUAUGCAACCUACCUAUCAGGAGGGGAAUAACCCGGCGAAAGUCGGACUAAUACCGCAUAAAACAGGGGCACCGCAUGGUGAUAUUUGUUAAAGAAAUUCGCUGAUAGAUGGGCAUGCGUUCCAUUAGGUAGUUGGUGAGGUAACGGCUCACCAAGCCGACGAUGGAUAGGGGAACUGAGAGGUUGGUCCCCCACACUGGUACUGAGACACGGACCAGACUCCUACGGGAGGCAGCAGUGAGGAAUAUUGGUCAAUGGGCGAGAGCCUGAACCAGCCAAGUCGCGUGAAGGAAGAAGGAUCUAUGGUUCGUAAACUUCUUUUGCAGGGGAAUAAAGUGCAGGACGUGUCCUGUUUUGUAUGUACCCUGAGAAUAAGGAUCGGCUAACUCCGUGCCAGCCGCGGC